AGCGAACGCUGGCGGCAGGCCUAACACAUGCAAGUCGAACGAACCUUUCGGGGUUAGUGGCGGACGGGUGAGUAACACGUGGGAACGUGCCUUUAGGUUCGGAAUAACUCAGGGAAACUUGUGCUAAUACCGAAUGUGCCCUUCGGGGGAAAGAUUAAUCGCCUUUAGAGCGGCCCGCGUCUGAUUAGCUAGUUGGUUGAGGUAAUGGCGCACCAAGGCGACGAUCAGUAGCUGGUCUGAGAGGAUGAUCAGCCACAUUGGGACUGAGACACGGCCCAAACUCCUACGGGAGGCAGCAGUGGGGAAUCUUGCGCAAUGGGCGAAAGCCUGACGCAGCCAUGCCGCGUGAAUGAUGAAGGUCUUAGGAUUGUAAAAUUCUUUCACCGGGGACGAUAAUGACGGUACCCGAAGAAGAAGCCCCGGCUAACUUCGUG
Molecule: ribosomal RNA, 434 nt
Filed under: uncultured bacterium
Lineage: Bacteria
Description: partial 16S ribosomal RNA
Rfam family: Bacterial small subunit ribosomal RNA
Source: RNAcentral